GCCCGGGUGGUGUAGCGGUAACAUAGGGGACUGUGGAUCCCCUGUCUCGGGUUCGAAUCCCGACCCGGGCC
This 71-nucleotide transfer RNA is filed under the name Thermoplasmata archaeon. Its description in RNAcentral is "tRNA-His". It matches the Rfam family "tRNA". Rfam says of the family: Transfer RNA (tRNA) molecules are approximately 80 nucleotides in length. The record is from RNAcentral. Lineage: Archaea; Methanobacteriati; Thermoplasmatota; Thermoplasmata. RNAcentral also lists the same sequence under 2 other names.